This 465-nucleotide ribosomal RNA is filed under the name Vreelandella stevensii. RNAcentral describes it as "partial 16S ribosomal RNA". It matches the Rfam family "Bacterial small subunit ribosomal RNA", at positions 338 to 795 of the family's 1533-position model. Lineage: Bacteria; Pseudomonadati; Pseudomonadota; Gammaproteobacteria; Oceanospirillales; Halomonadaceae. The record is from RNAcentral.
CCUACGGGAGGCAGCAGUGGGGAAUAUUGGACAAUGGGGGGAACCCUGAUCCAGCCAUGCCGCGUGUGUGAAGAAGGCCCUCGGGUUGUAAAGCACUUUCAGUGAGGAAGAACGCCUGGUGGUUAAUACCCAUCAGGAAAGACAUCACUCACAGAAGAAGCACCGGCUAACUCCGUGCCAGCAGCCGCGGUAAUACGGAGGGUGCGAGCGUUAAUCGGAAUUACUGGGCGUAAAGCGCGCGUAGGUGGCUUGAUAAGCCGGUUGUGAAAGCCCCGGGCUCAACCUGGGAACGGCAUCCGGAACUGUCAAGCUAGAGUGCAGGAGAGGAAGGUAGAAUUCCCGGUGUAGCGGUGAAAUGCGUAGAGAUCGGGAGGAAUACCAGUGGCGAAGGCAGCCUUCUGGACUGACACUGACACUGAGGUGCGAAAGCGUGGGUAGCAAACAGGAUUAGAUACCCGUGUAGUC